RNAcentral lists this ribosomal RNA (1677 nucleotides) under Salmonella enterica subsp. enterica serovar Heidelberg str. 607309-34. RNAcentral's name for it is "bacterial LSU rRNA". It matches the Rfam family "Bacterial large subunit ribosomal RNA", at positions 1272 to 2925 of the family's 2925-position model. The record is from RNAcentral. Lineage: Bacteria; Pseudomonadati; Pseudomonadota; Gammaproteobacteria; Enterobacterales; Enterobacteriaceae. RNAcentral also lists the same sequence under 1 other name.
GCUGGAGGUAUCAGAAGUGCGAAUGCUGACAUAAGUAACGAUAAAGCGGGUGAAAAGCCCGCUCGCCGGAAGACCAAGGGUUCCUGUCCAACGUUAAUCGGGGCAGGGUGAGUCGACCCCUAAGGCGAGGCCGAAAGGCGUAGUCGAUGGGAAACGGGUUAAUAUUCCCGUACUUGGUGUUACUGCGAAGGGGGGACGGAGAAGGCUAUGUUGGCCGGGCGACGGUUGUCCCGGUUUAAGCGUGUAGGUGUGUGUUCCAGGUAAAUCCGGUUCACUUUAACACUGAGGCGUGACGACGAGGCACUACGGUGCUGAAGCAACAAAUGCCCUGCUUCCAGGAAAAGCCUCUAAGCAUCAGGUAACAUCAAAUCGUACCCCAAACCGACACAGGUGGUCAGGUAGAGAAUACCAAGGCGCUUGAGAGAACUCGGGUGAAGGAACUAGGCAAAAUGGUGCCGUAACUUCGGGAGAAGGCACGCUGACACGUAGGUGAAGUGAUUUACUCAUGGAGCUGAAGUCAGUCGAAGAUACCAGCUGGCUGCAACUGUUUAUUAAAAACACAGCACUGUGCAAACACGAAAGUGGACGUAUACGGUGUGACGCCUGCCCGGUGCCGGAAGGUUAAUUGAUGGGGUCAGCGCAAGCGAAGCUCCUGAUCGAAGCCCCGGUAAACGGCGGCCGUAACUAUAACGGUCCUAAGGUAGCGAAAUUCCUUGUCGGGUAAGUUCCGACCUGCACGAAUGGCGUAAUGAUGGCCAGGCUGUCUCCACCCGAGACUCAGUGAAAUUGAACUCGCUGUGAAGAUGCAGUGUACCCGCGGCAAGACGGAAAGACCCCGUGAACCUUUACUAUAGCUUGACACUGAACAUUGAGCCUUGAUGUGUAGGAUAGGUGGGAGGCUUUGAAGUGUGGACGCCAGUCUGCAUGGAGCCGACCUUGAAAUACCACCCUUUAAUGUUUGAUGUUCUAACGUGGACCCGUUACCCGGGUUGCGGACAGUGUCUGGUGGGUAGUUUGACUGGGGCGGUCUCCUCCUAAAGAGUAACGGAGGAGCACGAAGGUUGGCUAAUCCUGGUCGGACAUCAGGAGGUUAGUGCAAUGGCAUAAGCCAGCUUGACUGCGAGCGUGACGGCGCGAGCAGGUGCGAAAGCAGGUCAUAGUGAUCCGGUGGUUCUGAAUGGAAGGGCCAUCGCUCAACGGAUAAAAGGUACUCCGGGGAUAACAGGCUGAUACCGCCCAAGAGUUCAUAUCGACGGCGGUGUUUGGCACCUCGAUGUCGGCUCAUCACAUCCUGGGGCUGAAGUAGGUCCCAAGGGUAUGGCUGUUCGCCAUUUAAAGUGGUACGCGAGCUGGGUUUAGAACGUCGUGAGACAGUUCGGUCCCUAUCUGCCGUGGGCGCUGGAGAACUGAGGGGGGCUGCUCCUAGUACGAGAGGACCGGAGUGGACGCAUCACUGGUGUUCGGGUUGUCAUGCCAAUGGCACUGCCCGGUAGCUAAAUGCGGAAGAGAUAAGUGCUGAAAGCAUCUAAGCACGAAACUUGCCCCGAGAUGAGUUCUCCCUGAGACUUAGAGUCUCCUGAAGGAACGUUGAAGACGACGACGUUGAUAGGCCGGGUGUGUAAGCGCAGCGAUGCGUUGAGCUAACCGGUACUAAUGAACCGUGAGGCUUAACCUUAC